This 660-nucleotide ribosomal RNA is filed under the name uncultured bacterium. RNAcentral describes it as "bacterial SSU rRNA". It matches the Rfam family "Bacterial small subunit ribosomal RNA", at positions 9 to 662 of the family's 1533-position model. The record is from RNAcentral.
GAGUUUGAUCAUGGUUCAGGACGAACGCUGGCGGCGUGCUUAAUACAUGCAAGUCGAGCGAGGUUACUGUUUUGGAUCCCUUCGGGGUGAAGAAGCUUUAACCUAGCGGCGGACGGGUGAGUAACGCGUGGGUAACCUACCCCAAAGUCCGGGAUAACAGCGGGAAACCGCUGCUAAUACCGGAUGCCUUUACCUUGGGGCAUCUUGAGGUAAAGAAAGGUAACGCUUUGGGAUGGGCCCGCGUCCCAUUAGCUAGUUGGUGAGGUAACGGCUCACCAAGGCGACGAUGGGUAGCCGGCCUGAGAGGGUGGACGGCCACACUGGGACUGAGACACGGCCCAGACUCCUACGGGAGGCAGCAGUAGGGAAUAUUGCGCAAUGGACGGAAGUCUGACGCAGCGACGCCGCGUGAGCGAUGAAGGUCUUCGGAUCGUAAAGCUCUGUCCUUGGGGAAGAAGGCGAAAGCUUGACGGUACCCAAGAAGAAAGCCCCGGCUAACUACGUGCCAGCAGCCGCGGUAAUACGUAGGGGGCGAGCGUUGUCCGGAAUUACUGGGCGUAAAGGGUGCGUAGGCGGCCCUUUAAGUCGGAUGUGAAAGCCCGCGGCUUAACCGCGGAAUGGCAUUCGAAACUGGAGGGCUUGAGUGUCGGAGAGGGUAGU